GAAGGGGAAAAUGAAGCUCUUCAGCCAGAAUCGUAGCAUUGCCAUCAAGGUUUCACUCUUGCCCUCUUGAAUGUGGGCAUGCAUGUAACUUAUCUUGUAAAAUUAGAUGGUGUCUGAGGCAGUUUCUGGGUCCGGAGAAAAAAUCUGCACCAAUAUGUGCAUCCCUCCUUCUCUUUUUUGUUCCUUCCUUACAUUCAUCUUACUGCAACCCAUCUUUCUCUUCUUUGUCUAUUCUCUUCAAAUAAUUACAAGCUUAAAUUAUGCCUUUUACUUGCACUUCUUUGAGGGGCUUCAUUGAAAUAGAAGCUUUACAUACUGCUUUGGCAUUGGUUUCUCUCUUCAACUCUGAUCCAGAAGGUACCAAUGAACCACCUUACCUUUGUGCUUGUUGUCUAGGCCGGGUUAUUAAAAUAAUUUCUUUGCUUACCACCCCGAACCUCAUAGUUGUAAUUUGAUAUUGUGGUUUAGUAAUGGUACUUCCCAGUUUAGUGCUCCCACUGAGACUCUCCAAAUCAUGAGCUGCUCACUCAGUCCCCCUCCUGUGUGGUGGGCUGGAGAGGAGAAUUAGAGGCACAAAAGGUAAAGAUCACAGGGUUGAGAUAAGAACAAUUUACUGGAAACAGCAAUGAGAUAAGAAAACUAACAGUAAAAGCAACAAUACUAAUGGCAGAGGGUGCAAGAAAUGAAGGAUUCAUGCGGAAACCCCUCGACAAUAGACAACAUCCAACCACUUGACAACUUCCUCCUCCACACUGCUUGACUGAAAGGGACCCUAUUUUCCCUGGAAGAGAAUCCCUCCACCCCACCCCCAGCAAUGAUGCGAGGUGGUGUAGAAUAACUUCUGGGUCCUAGCCAUGCUCCCUUCUAAGUACU
Molecule: long non-coding RNA, 873 nt
Organism: Empidonax traillii (willow flycatcher)
Lineage: Eukaryota; Metazoa; Chordata; Aves; Passeriformes; Tyrannidae
Exons: 2
Source: RefSeq, a predicted model, not a curated record